Molecule: signal recognition particle RNA, 98 nt
Filed under: Burkholderiales bacterium
Lineage: Bacteria; Pseudomonadati; Pseudomonadota; Betaproteobacteria; Burkholderiales
Also listed under: 1 other name
Description: signal recognition particle sRNA small type
Rfam family: Bacterial small signal recognition particle RNA
About the family: The signal recognition particle (SRP) is a universally conserved ribonucleoprotein involved in the co-translational targeting of proteins to membranes. Archaeal SRP consists of a 7S RNA and homologues of the eukaryotic SRP19 and SRP54 proteins.
Source: RNAcentral
GGUGGGUCUCCUUGCAUUGUCUACUGCAAAAUCUGGUCAGGUCGGGAACGAAGCAGCCAUAUGCGGAUCAGCAAGUGCCAAGGGUUAGGCUCACCUAU